GGAGGAGGUCGGCUGGUUAUCGGGAGUUGGAGGGCUGAGGUCGGGAGGGUGGUGUGUACAGAGCUCUAGGACACCAGGCCAGUCGCGGGUUUUGGGCCGAGGCCUGGGUUACAAGCAGCAAGUGCGCGGUUGGGGCCACUGCGAGGCCGUUUUAGAAAACUGUUUAAAACAAAGAGCAAUUGAUGGAUAAAUCAGGAAUAGAUUCUCUUGACCAUGUGACAUCUGAUGCUGUGGAACUUGCAAAUCGAAGCAAGCUGUUGCAAGAGGAUUUUUUAACUAUAUUGAAAAACUGAAGUAUGAACACCACCUGAAAGAAUCAUUGAAGCAAAUGAAU
RNAcentral lists this long non-coding RNA (334 nucleotides) under Homo sapiens (human). Its description in RNAcentral is "non-protein coding lnc-VSTM5-1:4". The record is from RNAcentral. Lineage: Eukaryota; Metazoa; Chordata; Mammalia; Primates; Hominidae.